UCGGACCGUGAAGCCAUCCGUUCCAUCCGCCUCAAGAAAGUGGAGCAAUUGUGGAGCCAGGGGUUGAAGCCGUACGGCUAUAAGUGGGAUAGAAGUCACAGUGCUAGGGAGCUUCAAGAGAUAUACAAGGAUCUUAACAAUGGCGAAGAGUUGGAUGGCGAAAGUCACCGUGUCUCCGUUGCUGGCCGAAUUGUGGCUCGUAGAGCCUUUGGGAAACUUGCUUUUCUCACUUUAAGAGAUGACUCCAGCACUAUUCAGUUGUACUGUGAGAAAGAAAGGCUUUUGAAUGAUCAAUUUGAGCAGUUAAAGACACUUGUUAAUAUUGGUGAUAUAUUGGGUGCUUCUGGCUCUAUUAAGCGGACUGAGAAAGGGGAGCUUUCUGUUAAGGUGGAUUCUUUUUCAAUCUUUACUAAAUCACUACUUCCUCUGCCGAAUAAGUUUCAUGGUUUAACCCACAUUGAUAAGUGAUACAGUCAAAGGU
Long non-coding RNA from Hibiscus syriacus, 481 nucleotides. RefSeq lists it as uncharacterized. NCBI's taxonomy places the organism in Eukaryota, Viridiplantae, Streptophyta, Magnoliopsida, Malvales, Malvaceae. The transcript is spliced from 3 exons. The record is from RefSeq and is a predicted model, not a curated record.